UCCUUUCUCAAAUCUAUUUGACGAGGACCUUGAAGAACUUGAAACCUUUGAGAAAGAGAUCAUUUCUCCAACGCUCUACGCAACAGCAUCUGCUAGUGUCAUUAGUCUUGACGAUUAAAGACAUUUGUUUCUAUUUUGUUUAGCGUCAUUGUAUUUGAAGUAAAAUUGUUGAAGUAAAUAGAUUAAAGAAAGCUCAAAGAAUUAGGUGAGUGAAACCAAGUGUUUCAGUAUUUAUAUGGUUAUUGAACUCUACAUGUUAUUUUUUGAAAUUACUAACUGGUGUCAUUUUUUUAUUUUUAAUAACUGCUUGCCAUUAUUUUAGCUGCACUUGUUCGCUUUUCUAUAGCGGGAAACUUCCUAGGACUUCCUGCUAUCACUGUUUCAGUUGAGUUAUAUUCUCCCUUACUUAGUAACAUUAUACCACCAUAUGUUAUUUUCUUUAUACAAGACUUUAGAUAUUAUUUAUAUGUUAUAUAUGCUUCAAACUUCACAGGUUGGGUAUGAUAAAUUGGGUUUGCCUAUUGGUCUUCAAUUCAUUGGAAGGCCUUGGUCUAAAGCAACACUAAUCCACUUAGCAUUUGCAAUGCAGGUAAACAUUUCUUUCAUUGUAUUGAAUAUACACUAGUACAAUAUUGGUCAUUUUCUUUUAUAUCAUUCAAAUAAUUUUUCUUGUGUUCUGUUUUAUAUUAUUAAUUUUUUUUUUUUAUAAUUGUGCAUGUAAUAAUAAAUGUACAACAUAUUCAGAUUAAAGAAUCAUUAUAUUUGUAAGCUUAUGAAGAACUUUUUAUGUGUGAUAUCAGGCUAUCUGCAUGUCAGAUUAUAGAAAGCCAGAGCAUUACUAUGAUCUGCUAAGAAGAUAAAAAGGAAGAAUAGUAGCAGUAGCACAUUGUUUCUUGCUAAAGGAAAGCCUUCAUUGUAGUGUGUUUGAGCUAGUGGGAUUUUUUCUUUCUUUUUUCCUUUUGGUGGAUUGGAUUUCAUCCAUUAUUAGUACAAAACUUGAUGUCUUUGAUAGUGGUUUCAGUUUUUGGAUUUUUUAUUCAAUUC
Non-coding RNA from Cicer arietinum (chickpea), 1044 nucleotides. The record is from RefSeq and is a predicted model, not a curated record. Lineage: Eukaryota; Viridiplantae; Streptophyta; Magnoliopsida; Fabales; Fabaceae.